RNAcentral lists this ribosomal RNA (512 nucleotides) under uncultured Escherichia sp. RNAcentral describes it as "bacterial SSU rRNA". It matches the Rfam family "Bacterial small subunit ribosomal RNA", at positions 8 to 509 of the family's 1533-position model. The record is from RNAcentral. Lineage: Bacteria; Pseudomonadati; Pseudomonadota; Gammaproteobacteria; Enterobacterales; Enterobacteriaceae.
AGAGUUUGAUCCUGGCUCAGAUUGAACGCUGGCGGCAGGCCUAACACAUGCAAGUCGAACGGUAACAGGAAGAAGCUUGCUUCUUUGCUGACGAGUGGCGGACGGGUGAGUAAUGUCUGGGAAACUGCCUGAUGGAGGGGGAUAACUACUGGAAACGGUAGCUAAUACCGCAUAACGUCGCAAGACCAAAGAGGGGGACCUUCGGGCCUCUUGCCAUCGGAUGUGCCCAGAUGGGAUUAGCUUGUUAGUGGGGUAACGGCUCACCAAGGCGACGAUCCCUAGCUGGUCUGAGAGGAUGACCAGCCACACUGGAACUGAGACACGGUCCAGACUCCUACGGGAGGCAGCAGUGGGGAAUAUUGCACAAUGGGCGCAAGCCUGAUGCAGCCAUGCCGCGUGUAUGAAGAAGGCCUUCGGGUUGUAAAGUACUUUCAGCGGGGAGGAAGGGAGUAAAGUUAAUACCUUUGCUCAUUGACGUUACCCGCAGAAGAAGCACCGGCUAACUCCGUGCC